This 72-nucleotide transfer RNA is filed under the name Camelus bactrianus (Bactrian camel). It matches the Rfam family "tRNA". Rfam says of the family: Transfer RNA (tRNA) molecules are approximately 80 nucleotides in length. Lineage: Eukaryota; Metazoa; Chordata; Mammalia; Artiodactyla; Camelidae. RNAcentral also lists the same sequence under 1 other name. The record is from Rfam by way of RNAcentral.
GUGGGUAUGGCUCAGUGGUAAAGCACAUGCUUAAGAUGCAUGAGGUCCUAGGUUCAAUCCUCAGUACUUCCA